CUCGUGUGAGUGAUCUGCUGCCGGCCGGAGCACCACCCACACUAGAGGUUGAACUUGAAGGCGAUCUGUAAACCGACCUACCGGAUCCAACAAGAAUUACACUCCACGGACAGACAAACUACCUGUCAAAUAAGCUGUGAAGGAUCUUCAUCUUUUUGGACAAUCCUUGAUUUUUAAGAAAUGGUUUUAUAAACCUGAUGGGGACAACACUUUAAAUACACCAGUAGAAAGGGAAGCACUUGAUGUUUUGGAGAGUUUGUUACAAGAACAGUGUGAGGAUGAUACAGCUCACUAUCUCUAUUUAUGCAUGCUGUGGUUCCCCAUUUACAGCAUCGAGAUUGAGGUUAUGGAUGGAUCUCCAGGAGACGAUAUAUGAAAUGGACUACUUUGACAGAUAGAAAGAUCUUUUUAAAAAAAAUAAAUUAUGUACACUCUUUUUUAUAUGUUUUUGUUCACAUUAUGAAUUGUGGUUUUAUUCACCUUUUCACUAAUUAUUUAAUUCAUUUUUCUUUUUUCACGUAAUCAUGUAAUGAUGA
Molecule: long non-coding RNA, 536 nt
Organism: Bufo gargarizans (Asiatic toad)
Lineage: Eukaryota; Metazoa; Chordata; Amphibia; Anura; Bufonidae
Exons: 3
Source: RefSeq, a predicted model, not a curated record